AACGAACGCUGGCGGCAUGCCUAACACAUGCAAGUCGAACGAGACCUUCGGGUCUAGUGGCGCACGGGUGCGUAACGCGUGGGAACCUGCCCUUAGGUUCGGAAUAACUCCCCGAAAGGGGUGCUAAUACCGGAUAAUGUCUUCGGACCAAAGAUUUAUCGCCUUUGGAUGGGCCCGCGUUGGUUUAGCUAGUUGGUAGGGUAAAAGCCUACCAAGGCGACGAUCCAUAGCUGGUCUGAGAGGAUGAUCCGCCACACUGGGACUGAGACACGGCCCAGACUCCUCCGGGAGGCAGCAGUGGGGAAUAUUGGACAAUGGGCGAAAGCCUGAUCCAGCACUGCCGCGUGAGUGAUGAAGGCCUUAGGGUUGUAAAGCUCUUUUACCCGGGAUGAUAAUGACAGUACCGGGAGAAUAAGCUCCGGCUAACUCCGUG
RNAcentral lists this ribosomal RNA (433 nucleotides) under uncultured bacterium. Its description in RNAcentral is "partial 16S ribosomal RNA". It matches the Rfam family "Bacterial small subunit ribosomal RNA", at positions 29 to 507 of the family's 1533-position model. The record is from RNAcentral.